CAUUAGAAGAAAAAUGCUUCACAAUAUUGGAAAAUACCAUACACCCCUGGGAACAAUGUCUGCUUAAUUACUAAAGAAUAAUCUCCAUCUGCUAGAUUUGUCUUCCCCAGCUCGCUCCAAAAUAAGUCUCCAGCGUGAUUUGCAAUGUGGGGAAGCACCAGGAAGAAAAGCAAUCACCCUGAGCCAAGGGAGGGAGUGGCGCUUCGCAGCCUUAUGGAAAGUUCCUGCCCACCACAAAGCACAACCCAAGUGCUGACAGAUGCCURGUGCUGAUAGACCUGGCCCAGGCGCAGGUUGGUUUCCCGCCUAUGUUGCUGUGUAGUGUGCUUUGUGCUGGAGAUGGCUUGCAGCGCUAGGAGCAUGUAGUGCUGCAGAGUACAUCCCCUGAAAACAGAUAUUAUUUAAAAUAAAGCUCCCAGAUCUCAGGAUACUACAAAUGAGCUGCUGUUGGAUAUGGGUUUACUCUGAGGCCAAAGACCUUGGGGUGAAUCUCUGUGCUGCUCCCYGGAAGGUGCGUGGCAGAACCUGCCCCCAGAGAGCAAAGUUUGUGCAGGAAUCCCCAGCACCAACCUCCUCCACGUGGCGCCCGGAGCUGUGGUGCUCGGGCUCGUUACGGGACCGCUCCUCGCGCUGGCGGUGCCCUGAGAAAUCCCUCACAUGGUGGAGGAUAACUGACCUGCUCACAGUGCUUGCCUCAAAAAGCUGUCUUGAGGUUCUGUUUGUGCCUAGGAUGGUGUUUUUGUAAAAACUAAUAUUCUCAAAAAAGAUGUUAAUUUUAGGACUAAUUAAAUGAUUAAUGCCU
Long non-coding RNA from Nothoprocta perdicaria, 802 nucleotides. RefSeq lists it as uncharacterized. Lineage: Eukaryota; Metazoa; Chordata; Aves; Tinamiformes; Tinamidae. The transcript is spliced from 2 exons. The record is from RefSeq and is a predicted model, not a curated record.